RNAcentral lists this long non-coding RNA (504 nucleotides) under Lotus japonicus. RNAcentral describes it as "long non-coding RNA (LJAP_LNC000255)". Lineage: Eukaryota; Viridiplantae; Streptophyta; Magnoliopsida; Fabales; Fabaceae. The record is from RNAcentral.
GGGAGAUGGUGAUGGUGGUGGUGGGCUUAUAUAGUGGUAAGGAGGUGGAGGAGAUGGCGAUGGUGGCGGAGGGGACCUGUAGUAGUACGGAGGAUGAGAAAUAUGGGAUGGUGGAGGAGGACUCUUGUAAUAGUAUGGAGGUGGAGGUGAUGGGGAUGGCGGUGGAGGUGAUUUGUAGUAGUAGGGUGGUGGUGGAGAUGGUGAUGGUGGAGGUGGAGAUUUGUAGUAGUAGGGGGGAGGAGGAUAGGGAGAUGGUGGAGGGGGACUCUUGUAGUAGUAUGGAGGGGGAGGUGAUGGGGAUGGUGGUGGGGGAGAUUUAUAAUAGUAUGGAGGGGGAGGAGAUGGUGAUGGUGGGGGUGGUGACUUAUAGUUGUAUGGAGGGUGUGAGAUUUCUUUGGGUGGAGGAGGAGAUUUAUAAUAGUAAGGUGGGGGUGGAGAUGGUGAUGGUGGAGAUGGUGACUUAUAAUAAUAUGGUGGAGGAGGGGAUGGUGAUGGUGGGGGUGN